GCUGGGCAUAGUGGUGUGUGCCUGUAGUUCCAGCUCCUGAGGAGGCUAAGGCAGGAGGAUCACUUGUGCCCAGGAGUUCGAGGCUGCAGUGAGACAUGUUUGUACCACUGCCCUCCAGCCUGGGCAACAGAGUAAGACCCUGUCUCUA
Molecule: unclassified non-coding RNA, 148 nt
Organism: Macaca fascicularis (crab-eating macaque)
Lineage: Eukaryota; Metazoa; Chordata; Mammalia; Primates; Cercopithecidae
Rfam family: Metazoan signal recognition particle RNA
About the family: The signal recognition particle (SRP) is a universally conserved ribonucleoprotein. It is involved in the co-translational targeting of proteins to membranes.
Source: Ensembl